GGGGUUGUAGUUUAAUUGGUUUGAACGUUGCCCUGUCACGGCGAAAGUUGCGGGUUCGAGUCCCGUCAAUCCCG
RNAcentral lists this transfer RNA (74 nucleotides) under Eutreptia viridis. Its description in RNAcentral is "tRNA-Asp". It matches the Rfam family "tRNA". From Rfam's summary of the family: Transfer RNA (tRNA) molecules are approximately 80 nucleotides in length. Their secondary structure includes four short double-helical elements and three loops (D, anti-codon, and T loops). Lineage: Eukaryota; Euglenozoa; Euglenophyceae; Eutreptiales; Eutreptiaceae. The record is from RNAcentral.